UAAAUCCCCCUUCUUCUCCCUCUCACGCCGCAACCCCCCUCAUGAUAACUCUCUCUCCCUCCUCUACAUUUCGUCUCCUUCCCAUAACCCAGCCAUUACCUUCGAUUUCAGCCACCACUUACAAUUCCUCCGGCCAUCAUUCAGUGUCCACCGUCGCUGUGCCGCAUCUCCAACGAAUGACCAACUGCAAGUACCGUCGGUUUGGCUUCCGUUGCACCCAUCGCUAUCGCGUCUCUCCAUCUCUAUCUGAUCUUUCUCGUUCAGACUCUCGUGUGGUUAUGUCUUACCUCCGCCCAAUCUCAGACCUGCCAUCAGCAUCAUUACUUUCCAAAAUCGGCGUUUUGGGUAAGUUUUUUGGUGUCUUGUAUGGGUUUUCGGAUCCGCACCAUAUGACACCGGAUCCAAUCAGAUGCCACCAGUCAGCCACCGUACAAUGCCCACCGGUCAGUUCUCCACCGGAUCCGCGCCAAUCGCCCAGCCUAGCCUCCACCCAAAUCUGGUUAGUCCUUGCACCAGGUUUGGUCAGUCCUUCACCAUAUCCAGUUAGUCUUCCACCGGAUUCGUCGUACAGCCGCAUUGCCCCUGUCAAGUAAGAGCUUUUUAUAGUUUUAUGAGUGUUCUUGUUUGUUUUUUCUUUUAGGCAAGAUGGUCAAGGCUCGGUGAAGCGUCGAUUUGAGCAAACACUAUGAGUAAUGUUUUGGAUGUAUUGGAAUGAAUUUGUGAUUUGGUUAUAAUGUAGCAUCUUAUGUAAUGAUUUCAUUGUUUGAAUUGUUGAUGAUGAGAUUGAUUUUGUUGUCCAAUAGAUUUGAGACCGAUCUUGACAAGGUUUUAGUAAGUUUAGAGGUUAGUAUUAAUAGUUCUUUGUUAUCCAUUGAAGUAUUGGUCAAAUAAUUGAGUUAUUUUCAAUUUAAAGAUUUCAAGGGAUUCGAGCCAUUAUCCAGCAAAGUUAACGAUGUUUUUGACGUUUUGAUAGGUAUCAAGGCCUUGAAACUCUUUUGGAAUGUGUUACCUAGUUGCUGGAAUUUGUGUUUUGUAACCACUAUUAUUGAACUUUUUGUCGGUUGGAUUACUUUGUUGUAGUUUUGAAGUGGCAUUCAAAUCAACCACACUUUGGGUAAUCUAUUUGGAGUUAAACGGUUAUUUUGGGUGAAUGAAAAUUUGAAUAAUGGGUUUCAUAUUUCUGUAGUUUUUGAAUGAAAUUUUGUAGAUAAGAUUGGAUUGCUUUGUUGUAUUUUUUAAUGAAAUUUGUAAAUGAGAUCGGGCUUCCAAAUUCUCUAUUUUAUUUGCUUGUAGAUAAGAUAAGUUGUGAAAGUUGUAAAAGUUGGGCGACAGCGAAAGGUAAUUGUUCCUCCUGAUACUGGAUAUGGUCAGAAUAGAAUGAAUGAAAUUCCAUUGACUUGGUUAAACAUGGCUUGCCUGGCCCUUAGUUCUCGAUCUUUGGACUUCAAAACUCAAUGUAUAGAUAAAUAAUGUACUUUGUUGAGAGGUUACUUAUUAAACAAUUUGUUACUUGUGUAUUGUUUGAAAGUUGAGUUUUGUAUACAAAAGCACUAGUUGAGAUUUUA
This is a long non-coding RNA of Benincasa hispida (wax gourd), 1565 nucleotides long. RefSeq lists it as uncharacterized. Lineage: Eukaryota; Viridiplantae; Streptophyta; Magnoliopsida; Cucurbitales; Cucurbitaceae. The record is from RefSeq and is a predicted model, not a curated record.